CACGUAGUUAGCCGUGACUUCCUCGCCGGGUACCAUCACUCAGAAAGCUUUCCACUCUUUCUGCCUUUUGUCCCCGGCAACAGAGCUUUACGAUCCGAAGACCUUCCUCGCUCACGCAGCAUUGCUCGUUCAGGGUUCCCCCCAUUGACGAAAAUUCCCUACUGCUGCCUCCCGCAGGAGUCUGGGCCGUGUCUCAGUCCCAGUGUGGCCGUCCGCCCUCUCAGGCCGGCUAUGCAUCGUCGCCUUGGUGAGCCGUUACCUCUCCAACCAGCUAAUGCACCGCAGGUCCAUCUGCAUGCGGGACUCUUGUCCCCUUUACAAAAAGAGAUGCCUCCUCUUGCUCAUCCGGUAUCAGUCCUUCCGUUUCCAGUACGUUCUCCCGCUCAUGCAGGCAGGUUCCCUAGUGUUACUCACCCGUUGCCCAUCAUAUACCGAAGACUAUCCGUUCGACUUGCAUGUAUUAGGCUAGUCGCCGCAGGUCCGUUCAUCCU
RNAcentral lists this ribosomal RNA (491 nucleotides) under uncultured Erysipelotrichaceae bacterium. RNAcentral describes it as "partial 16S ribosomal RNA". Lineage: Bacteria; Bacillati; Bacillota; Erysipelotrichia; Erysipelotrichales; Erysipelotrichaceae. The record is from RNAcentral.